AUGGCCCCUCAGCAGGAGAGCAACAAGGACGGCGGCGCUGCCACCACGCCGACGAUGGAGGAAGAAGAGGAGGACGAUGAGGAGCAUCAUCGUCAUGGCGAACGGCCGCUGCUCUCGGCGUGUGAGCAGGAGCAGGAGCAGCAGCAGGAUGCCGACAAGCCAUUGCCAUUGCCGGCGAAGAGGAGGAGGAGCAGCAGCAGCCUGAGCAGAUCAUCAAGAUCAGGCGAGCAGGGGUGGCAGGAGGAGGCGGCCGGGCCCGGCGCCGCCCGGUCGCUGUCCUUCUCCAGGCUCUUCAACAGCUUCAGGAUGGUCACCACCUCCUCCUCUACCUUGGACAUUGACGAGCUAGCUGCUGCUGAAGACGGCUGUGCAGAGCAACGGCAAUGGCCAUCGCAGUCCAAGCGGCAACAUCCGAAGCCACCGGUGUGCCGGACGCAGUCGAUGCCGAUGACGAGCAUCUCCAGGAGGCUCCCCGCUCAUGGCGGCAAGAAGCGGGUGGCGGACUCGAGCUCCUUGCGCCGGUUCCGGGUGUCGUCGGUGCAAUUGCCAUUGCCGGAGUCGGCGCCGCCACCCUCUUCGCCAUCGCCGUCGGAAGAAGGAGAGGAAGAGGAGGUGGGGGAGGAGGAGGCGGUGUGCCGGAUCUGCAUGGUGGCGCUUCUGGAGGAGGAAGAAGAAGGAGCAGGCGACGGCGUGCUGAAGCUGGAGUGCCGGUGCAAGGGCGAGCUGGCGCUGGCUCACCGCCGCUGCGCCCUCAAGUGGUUCGGCAUCAAGGGCGACCCCAACUGCGACGUCUGCGGCCACGACGUCCUCAACCUCCCCGUCACCCUCCGCCGCGUCGCCGCCCCUCCCCCACCACCACCUCCUCCCCUCACCGCCGGCAAUGGCAAUGGCAGCACCAGCCAAGAGGAAGAACAAGAAGCAAGAGAGAGAAGAGGGUUGAGGGGCGUGUGGCGGCAUGGCACGGUGAUCCUGGUGACGGUGAGCAUGCUGGCCUACUUCUGCUUCCUGGAGCAGCUGCUGGUGGGCGACCACGGCAACGCGGCCGCCGCCCUCGCCGUCUCGGCGCCCUUCGCCGUCGUGCUCGGCACCUUCUCGGCGCUCACCACCGCCGGGAUGGCCUCGUCGAGAAGGUACGUGUGGGCAUACUCGGCGCUGCAGUUCCUGCUGGUCGUCCUCUUCACCCACCUCUUCUACCGCUACGUCAGGCUCCAGGCCGUCAUCGCCAUCAUCCUCUCCGCCUUCGCCGGCUUCGGCGUCGCCAUCUGCGCCAACGCCGUGCUCCUCCAGGCCGCCCGCUGGAGGGCCGCCGCCCGCCGCCCCCCGCCGCCGCCGUCGGACCCGGAUCACCUCCAUCAGACCCCUCAGCCAUAG
This 1371-nucleotide ribosomal RNA is filed under the name Triticum aestivum (bread wheat). Its description in RNAcentral is "partial small subunit ribosomal RNA". Lineage: Eukaryota; Viridiplantae; Streptophyta; Magnoliopsida; Poales; Poaceae. The record is from RNAcentral.